UUUAUGGAGAGUUUGAUCCUGGCUCAGGAUGAACGCUGGCGGCGUGCCUAAUACAUGCAAGUCGAGCGAACGGACGAGAAGCUUGCUUCUCUGAUGUUAGCGGCGGACGGGUGAGUAACACGUGGAUAACCUACCUAUAAGACUGGGAUAACUUCGGGAAACCGGAGCUAAUACCGGAUAAUAUUUUGAACCGCAUGGUUCAAAAGUGAAAGACGGUCUUGCUGUCACUUAUAGAUGGAUCCGCGCUGCAUUAGCUAGUUGGUAAGGUAACGGCUUACCAAGGCAACGAUGCAUAGCCGACCUGAGAGGGUGAUCGGCCACACUGGAACUGAGACACGGUCCAGACUCCUACGGGAGGCAGCAGUAGGGAAUCUUCCGCAAUGGGCGAAAGCCUGACGGAGCAACGCCGCGUGAGUGAUGAAGGUCUUCGGAUCGUAAAACUCUGUUAUUAGGGAAGAACAUAUGUGUAAGUAACUGUGCACAUCUUGACGGUACCUAAUCAGAAAGCCACGGCUAACUACGUGCCAGCAGCCGCGGUAAUACGUAGGUGGCAAGCGUUAUCCGGAAUUAUUGGGCGUAAAGCGCGCGUAGGCGGUUUUUUAAGUCUGAUGUGAAAGCCCACGGCUCAACCGUGGAGGGUCAUUGGAAACUGGAAAACUUGAGUGCAGAAGAGGAAAGUGGAAUUCCAUGUGUAGCGGUGAAAUGCGCAGAGAUAUGGAGGAACACCAGUGGCGAAGGCGACUUUCUGGUCUGUAACUGACGCUGAUGUGCGAAAGCGUGGGGAUCAAACAGGAUUAGAUACCCUGGUAGUCCACGCCGUAAACGAUGAGUGCUAAGUGUUAGGGGGUUUCCGCCC
Molecule: ribosomal RNA, 856 nt
Filed under: Staphylococcus aureus
Lineage: Bacteria; Bacillati; Bacillota; Bacilli; Caryophanales; Staphylococcaceae
Also listed under: 1 other name
Description: bacterial SSU rRNA
Rfam family: Bacterial small subunit ribosomal RNA
Source: RNAcentral